Long non-coding RNA from Mandrillus leucophaeus (drill), 765 nucleotides. RefSeq lists it as uncharacterized. The record is from RefSeq and is a predicted model, not a curated record. NCBI's taxonomy places the organism in Eukaryota, Metazoa, Chordata, Mammalia, Primates, Cercopithecidae. The transcript is spliced from 2 exons.
GGGCUCCGGGAGGAGGGCCUGGUGGCUGUAGGUGAUCGCAACGUACACGCUGGAGUGUGGCGGGCUGACAGGUCUGAGACCUGAAGGACCCGGGAACCGCAAAGCACGGUGUGCCUCCGUUGUCCUGAAGAAAAAGCCGCGCGCAGACGACUGGCCGGCCCGCGCUCGCAGCUCCCAGACGUUGACAGGCAUCCUCGGGUGACCGGUGUGAGUAUGGUAUCAGGAUGAUUCGACUGCAAGCAACAGAAAAAUCAAACAAAAAUGGCCUAAGCCAAGAAGAGAAAUGGUUAUUUCUUCAAGAAGUUUGGGAGUUGAGUGGUUAAAUGGUUAAUUAAUCUAGAGCUCAACAGUAUCAUCCAGGGCCCAUUUUCACUAUGGUGGCUAAAGCCCUGCACCCCUCAGGCUUGCACCAUGGCAGCAGCAGUGACAGUAAAGACACCCUUGUACCACAAUGCUCCAUAACCACGGAGAGGGUCUCCUCUCUCCUGCCCCUUUCUAGAGGCUCCACCAAUUCCCUUCACAUUCUGUUUCUCAUUCGUAAACGCAGUUUCUGGCAACAGGGAUGGGCUUACCACAAUGGGUACAGAGCAAUUAAGAUUCACCACUAGGUGAGUCCUUUGGAAAACACUUGGCCCCCCAGUAUAUAAACAAAUCUGGUACUCCUGUCAAGAAAGAGCUGGGUAAUUCCCAACAGCCAACAGUGUCUGCCACAAGUGAAAUAUCUCAUUAGAGAAAACUGAGUAGGUACUACACGAUUCUGAGUUU